This is a long non-coding RNA of Acanthaster planci (crown-of-thorns starfish), 1736 nucleotides long. RefSeq lists it as uncharacterized. NCBI's taxonomy places the organism in Eukaryota, Metazoa, Echinodermata, Asteroidea, Valvatida, Acanthasteridae. The record is from RefSeq and is a predicted model, not a curated record.
CUUACUGGGAUCAUCAUGAUGAGAGGGAGGCUCCCUUUUUAGUCAUCUCCCUUUCUAGUGAAUGAUAAAUUACUCGCUAAGGAAUCCUACCCUAUCUGGAUAGAUGGCUAUUUGCCCAAACAUGAACAUGAAGAGUGCUGCAUUUAGGUCGGACACAAAAGCCUGCUUCUGUUCUCUGGGUUGGAGUCCCAAGUCUUGGCAGAUUCUUGCCCCAGAGCAAAGGUGGUGACAGCCAGUGGCAUCCUAAAACUACAGAAAAGAUGAAUGGCAUCCCACUUACCCUGUCAGCUUGAUUUAAUGCCAGGAGCAGUUGAUGUGGAAAGCGCCCUCUCUGGUCAUGAUUGGAAUAACAUCUCAUCAGGUUUGGCUGUCUUGGCCCAGCCUCUGGUAUCAGUAGUGGCCAGACUUCUUGGAGCCAACGGAUCCCCUCUCACAUCUGUUAAGAUCAUUCCAUCUCAGCCCUUGCUCCAUAAAAACUCCCUGGCCAGAAAUACUCCAUAAAUCUCACUCGGCUAUUUUCUCUAACCUUGUGAAGUUCAAAUUCCUGGGAGGUUUUUCUGUCUGGGGACUACUAUGGAUAAUAUGUCAGCUUAUGCGCAUUUGAGGUUUUCUUUUGUGGCGUAACUGGGUAGCAUAAUGGCCGGUGUACUCAUAAAAAAUAGUUGAAGUUGUAAAUAAAUAUGAUGAUUCGUGCCCAGGGUAUAUUUCUUCCAUAUAAAUGUAUCAAUCAUGUGGCUUAGAUUAUCUAAGCUGAAAUUAUUUUGUUAUCUUGCUUUUAGAUUAGUUUUUCCAUUUUGAAACAAAUACUGUAUUGCUUCCUUUAAACCACGAAGAGAGGGUUUUUAUGACUACAUUCAUAGAGUCAUGUUGCAGGCAGAAUGUCUCCUUUUUUCUGAACAAAACUGAAACGUGAAUGAGCUGUGGACGGGGACAAUUUGAUGCUGAAAAUCAAGUUGAAAUUGGUGCAGAGAUAAAGCAAUAGGAAUGCGGGUACAUUUAGAUUGAUUGUGGUAAAUACGGGUACAUUUAGAUUGAUUGUGGUAUUGCACAUGAAGAUCUGCUUAUAAUCAUUGACUGCUUGCCGCAUUCAUUUUAGUCCCUCAGUUCUCUUCAUAAUUUCAAAUGUGCACUAGUUUUUCCUUUAAGGUGAAUCUCAAUUCCAGAAGAUUGUAUUGAGAGAAACAGGAUUGUCAAGGAUUACAGGCAAGCAUUGCCGAGUUCAGCUCAGGACGCGGGCAAUCCAUUGACAUCUUCUCUCUCUCUGUCUGUAUCCAGUUUGGCUUACAGCUUUCCAGAGACCCUAGGGCAGUUUAUGUGUGGCUGUGGAUUCACUCUCAAUCCACUUGUCUUUGCUGAAGUCUGGACUGUUAGAAUUUCAAUCAAAGGAUUGAAAUUGUAAGGAUUAUCUUUUUUUUUAUUAUUGAUGGAAUUUUGACAGACACAAUCUUGAUGAAGGAUAGAAACAUUUCAGCCUAAAAUGUAUUGCCAGUCAUUUUAUAUAGUUCACACCAAAGGAUUCAUUGCUGGCGGAUUUGUUUGAUCUUGAAAGAUCUGCCAGUUGUAUUUUACAACUUAGAGCCAUAAUUUAACUGGUCAAGAAUGUAAAUGUUCUCAGUCUUAUUUGGAUUUGAAAAAAGUUUUCCUAUCAUGUUGUAUAUAUGCGUUACUUGAUGGAAUACGUUGUAAUAAACUUUCAACGUAAACCAAAAAAACUCACUUAAAAAUGUCUGACUUAA